UUCACAACUAUUUCCGCUACGAUAACCGAUCUGUCGACGUCCAUUUUGCUCGCUUGUUGGUGCUAGCGUCCCUGAUUUAUGAGCCGUCUUUAUAGCCGCCUGCUCAUCGAAGUUUGAAUAAUGGAGGGAGCACCAGGAGGUGGUAGAGGUAGUUUUCGAGGCCGUGGAGGCCCGGGUGGAGUAAUGAGGGGACGUGGCGGUUUUGGAGAGAGAGGAAGAGGUGGUCCUCCUCGAGGUGGUAGCAUGAUGCGUGGCGGACGAGGUAAUGGUCCUGGCGGAAGAGGAGGUCCACCAAUGAGAGGCCGAGGUGGCCCUCCUGGCAGAGGUGGACGAGGUGGACAUUUUCCUCCAGGACCACCAGAAGCAGGAAUGUCUAGUGGACCUGGAGGUGGUCCGCCACCCUUAGGAAUGGGUGGUCCUCCACGAGGUGGUGGCGGAAGAGGUGGCGGCAGUAAUAGCUUCCGUAGCAGAGGCAGAGGCGACUUCGGCAGGGGAGAUAGCCGCGGAGGUAGCAAUAAUUUCCGGGGUCGCGGCAUGGAUAGAGGUAGAGGAGGAUCCAGAGGAGGAUCAAGCCGAGGUGGACCCAGCCGUGGUGGCUUUGAUCGUGGUGGUCGAGGGACUGGGGGUGGACGUGGUGGUCCUACGAAACGAGGAGGAGGUCCACCUAGCUCGAGUGGACCUUCCAAAAGGCCACGUUUUGAUCAACCGUCUUCUCAACCAUCUAAUGGUUACGCUACUCAACCUCCUAGCCAAGGUUAUGGAGGUUCAAGUAACGCUUACAGCAGCCAACAACAACCACAGCAGCAACAGUCCGUAGGAUACGGUAGCGGUGGCUAUGGCUCACAGCAAGGCUACACACAGUCUUAUCAGGGCUAUGAGAGUUAUCAGCAGCCUCAGGAUUAUGGACAAACGGGUUAUCCACCGUCCGCAGCAGACAGCAGAUACGGCGGGGCGUCAUCAGUUCCAGCUGCAGGAUUUGGCGCUAACGAUCCGUACAGUUACGGCAAAGCUCCGCCGUCAGCCGAUUACCAGCAGGAGGCAGUGUCAACCGCGGGACCGGGGGGCGGGGCCGGUUAUGUCUCAGCUAACCCAUAUGACGACCGAUCUAAUGCCAACAUAAUCAACCGGGGUUAUUCGACGCAACCUUAUGAUUAUCCGAGUCAGGAUGGUGUUUAUGGGAAACAGGACUAUGGUUGAUCACAACUGCAACAACUGUGACGCCAAAUGAGAUCAUCAUCCACAUGGAAUCAUCGAUUAUAAUCGCCGCAUGACCGGUAUCGCAAUCAUGAGAACCAGAAAAAUCACGAAUCUGCGUUGCUACACACCUCGCAGAUAAUAUACUCCAUACAUCAUGUGCUUCGUACAGGUGAAUAGAAGUCACAUUUUAGAGUGGUAUACGAAUUAUAUUUGUAUGAGAAAUUUUGCUCUUUUUUUUCUUGAAUGAUUCCUCCCCAUUUGUCUUGCU
RNA transcript from Trachymyrmex septentrionalis, 1465 nucleotides. It is a transcript of the gene named keratin, type I cytoskeletal 9-like, with no coding region annotated. NCBI's taxonomy places the organism in Eukaryota, Metazoa, Arthropoda, Insecta, Hymenoptera, Formicidae. The transcript is spliced from 11 exons. The record is from RefSeq and is a predicted model, not a curated record.